UGAGCAACUGCCGCGUGAGUGAUGAGGUUCUUCGGAUCUGUAAAGCUCUGUUGUUAGGGAAGAACAAGUGCGAGAUUAACUGCUCGCCCCUUGACGGUACCUAACCAGAAAGCCCCGGCUAACUUCGUGCCAGCAGCCGCGGUAAUACGUAGGUGGCAAGCGUUGUCCGGAAUUAUUGGGCGUAAAGGGCUCGCAGGCGGUUUCUUAAGUCUGAUGUGAAAGCCCCCGGCUCAACCGGGGAAGGGCAUUGGAAACUGGGAAACUUGAGUGCGGAAGAGGAAAGUGGAAUUCCACGUGUAGCGGUGAAAUGCGUAGAGAUGUGGAGGAACACCAGUGGCGAAGGCGACUCUCUGGUCUGUAACUGACGCUGAGGAGCGAAAGCGUGGGGAGCGAACAGGAUUAGAUACCCGCGGUAGUCCAA
This 421-nucleotide ribosomal RNA is filed under the name Bacillus sp. (in: firmicutes). RNAcentral describes it as "bacterial SSU rRNA". It matches the Rfam family "Bacterial small subunit ribosomal RNA", at positions 388 to 798 of the family's 1533-position model. Lineage: Bacteria; Bacillati; Bacillota; Bacilli; Caryophanales; Bacillaceae. The record is from RNAcentral.